AGAGAGAGACAUGCGCGCAUAUCAAUAAGCGGAGGAAAAGAAACUAACAAGGAUUCCCUUAGUAACGGCGAGUGAAGCGGGAAGAGCUCAAAUUUGAAAUCUUCAAGGUUCUACCUUGACGAAUUGUAGUUUAUAGAAGUGUUUUCUGUUAGUGGAGUGGCAAAAGUUCUUUGGAAUAGGACAUCAUAGAGGGUGAGAAUCCCGUAUUUGGUCAUUCCUCCUAGCGUUGUGAUACACUUUCAACGAGUCGGAUUGUUUGGGAAUGCAGUCCAAAAUGGGUGGUAAAUUUCAUCUAAAGCUAAAUAUUGGCGAGAGACCGAUAGCGAACAAGUACCGUGAGGGAAAGAUGAAAAGAACUUUGAAAAGAGAGUUAAACAGUCACGUGAAAUUGUCAAAAGGGAAGCGUUUGACACCAGUGUUGUUUUUCCGAAAAUCAAUUACGAAUGUUUUAGUUUUUGAGGAGUUAUGACUUCAUCGGCUUGCUCCUUUCUUUAUGAAACUUUCUUAAUGCACUUUUCGGUUAACAAGUCAACAUCAAUUUCUUUUGUUGUAAAAGGGUAUGAGGAAGGUGGCUUUCUCUUCGGAGAAAGUGUUUAUAGCCUUGUACCUCUGCAAUCGGAGAGAUUGAGGUCUGCAGCGUAGAUCCUUCGGGGUUAGAUACAUUUGUGCUAAGUUAUAGCUUUUCAUAGACAACUUGUCGACUAUGUUUAGUCUUGUAGCUUACUCGCUUACUGCUAUUUUACCUACGCUUAGGAUGUUGAUAGUCACAGCGUGUAC
Molecule: ribosomal RNA, 777 nt
Filed under: uncultured Neocallimastigales
Lineage: Eukaryota; Fungi; Neocallimastigomycota; Neocallimastigomycetes; Neocallimastigales
Description: partial large subunit ribosomal RNA
Rfam family: Eukaryotic large subunit ribosomal RNA
Source: RNAcentral